This 478-nucleotide ribosomal RNA is filed under the name uncultured fungus. RNAcentral describes it as "eukaryotic LSU rRNA". The stretch from base 137 to 290 matches the Rfam family "5.8S ribosomal RNA". The record is from RNAcentral. Lineage: Eukaryota; Fungi.
ACGGUCAGACUCACCCUUGAUAAUACCUUGUUGCUUUGGCAGGACGCCUCGUGCCAAGCGGCUUCGGCUGCUGAGUGCCUGCCAGAGGACCACAACUCUUGAAAUACAUGAUGUCUGAGUACUAUAUAAUAGUUAAAACUUUCAACAACGGAUCUCUUGGUUCUGGCAUCGAUGAAGAACGCAGCGAAAUGCGAUAAGUAAUGUGAAUUGCAGAAUUCAGUGAAUCAUCGAAUCUUUGAACGCACAUUGCGCCCUCUGGUAUUCCGGGGGGCAUGCCUGUUCGAGCGUCAUUAUAACCACUCAAGCUCUCGCUUGGUAUUGGGGUUCGCGAUUUCGCGGCCCCUAAACUCAGUGGCGGUGCCUGUCGGCUCUACGCGUAGUAAUACUCCUCGCGAUUGAGUCCGGUAGGUCUACUUGCCAGCAACCCCCAAUUUUACAGGUUGACCUCGGAUCAGGUAGGGAUACCCGCUGAACUUAA